Molecule: long non-coding RNA, 1215 nt
Organism: Suricata suricatta (meerkat)
Lineage: Eukaryota; Metazoa; Chordata; Mammalia; Carnivora; Herpestidae
Exons: 5
Source: RefSeq, a predicted model, not a curated record
AACCAGGUGGCUUCGUGUGUGUGUGACGUUUAGGAAGCAUGAGCUGUGGGACAACACCGCUCGGGUCUGAGUUCUCUCUCUACCGCUUGCGAGCUGACCUCUGUGCCUCGGUUGCCGCAUCUGUUAAGGGGAAAUGAUAACACUUCACAGAGCUGCUCUGAGGACUGAAGGGAUGUAUGUUGCCAAAUUCGGAGAAGCACGGUCCCCGGGUUGCAGGACGACAGGAUGGGAGACCCUGGAGUCCACUGCAGUCGUUCAGGUGAUGAGGCCCCGGAGCAGGAGACAGGACGUCAGCAGUGCCCUCUGACCUGGGCCUGGCCGUCUUCGGUCUGGUCCCAUCUGGUGAGGGUGGUGGGGCUGACCUCCACCCCGCCGUGCAAGGCCGCUGCUCCGAAGGCCCGCCGAGCUGGCUGGAGAAAAGGCUGACUCGAGCCUGCAAAGGGGAAGCAGAAAUAUUUGCUCAGCUGCAAAGACAAGCCAGAAAUGUCCAGAUUCAGCAGUUGGUGAUUCAGAUCUUUUUUCAACUGGCUGACACAGAAAAGGCCCUGUGGGGAUUAGAGCCAGGACUUUGAUGUUAGAGCCGGAAUCCCAGCUUCAACACUGCUGUGCUGUGUGACCUGGCGUUGUGACCAAGGAGAUGCUUCUGUGGCAGGAGAUGGAGCCUGGUCUGCACACCAGCAAGCCGGCCUGGAAGAAACUGAAUCCUGCAGACAGCCCCGCGGGUUUGGGAGUGGAUUCUGCCCCCAGGAAUCCUUCCGAUAAGCCCGGCCAACCCCAGCCCCCCAGCACCUUGAUGGCAGUUUGCAGAAGACCCAGCCGAGCUGCGUGUGGCCCCCUGACCCACAGAAACCGUGAAAUAGUAAACGUGUGCUAUUUCAAGGGCACGAAGCUGGAGUGGGCCCGAUGCUGGUAAGGUGGCUCCUACCACGCUGAUGAGGGCGACUCCCCAGGAAACUGCAGAGCUACAAGAUAGAAGGCAUCCAGGAGCCCAGACCACAGUGGGGAGCUGGGCCAUAUCACGCCCCCUGACUCCCCUGCCCUGGGCCUGUGUCUACUUCUGGACGUGAGAGAGAAGUGACCCCACUUCUUGCUGAGCCACUGUAUUUCGGGGUCUCUGUGUUACGGCAGUGUGGCCUGCACCUUGACCACUAGGGAUAAUGGAGCAAGGCUGUGGCCUGCACCUUGACCACUAGGGAUAAUGGAGCAAGGCCCUCA